AACUGGUAGACGCGGUAGACUCAAAAUCUACUAUACUUGGUAUGUGGGAGUUCGAGUCUCCCCGAGGGCACCA
This 73-nucleotide transfer RNA is filed under the name Alphaproteobacteria bacterium CG_4_10_14_0_8_um_filter_37_21. RNAcentral describes it as "tRNA-OTHER". It matches the Rfam family "tRNA", at positions 14 to 71 of the family's 71-position model. From Rfam's summary of the family: Transfer RNA (tRNA) molecules are approximately 80 nucleotides in length. Their secondary structure includes four short double-helical elements and three loops (D, anti-codon, and T loops). Lineage: Bacteria; Pseudomonadati; Pseudomonadota; Alphaproteobacteria. The record is from RNAcentral.